RNAcentral lists this ribosomal RNA (575 nucleotides) under Colletotrichum sp. ITCC 5554. Its description in RNAcentral is "eukaryotic LSU rRNA". The stretch from base 214 to 367 matches the Rfam family "5.8S ribosomal RNA". Lineage: Eukaryota; Fungi; Ascomycota; Sordariomycetes; Glomerellales; Glomerellaceae. The record is from RNAcentral.
GUAACAAGGUCUCCGUUGGUGAACCAGCGGAGGGAUCAUUACUGAGUUUACGCUCUACAACCCUUUGUGAACAUACCUAUAACUGUUGCUUCGGCGGGUAGGGUCUCCGCGACCCUCCCGGCCUCCCGCCUCCGGGCGGGUCGGCGCCCGCCGGAGGAUAACCAAACUCUGAUUUAACGACGUUUCUUCUGAGUGGUACAAGCAAAUAAUCAAAACUUUUAACAACGGAUCUCUUGGUUCUGGCAUCGAUGAAGAACGCAGCGAAAUGCGAUAAGUAAUGUGAAUUGCAGAAUUCAGUGAAUCAUCGAAUCUUUGAACGCACAUUGCGCCCGCCAGCAUUCUGGCGGGCAUGCCUGUUCGAGCGUCAUUUCAACCCUCAAGCUCUGCUUGGUGUUGGGGCCCUACAGCUGAUGUAGGCCCUCAAAGGUAGUGGCGGACCCUCUCGGAGCCUCCUUUGCGUAGUAACUUUACGUCUCGCACUGGGAUCCGGAGGGACUCUUGCCGUAAAACCCCCAAUUUUCCAAAGGUUGACCUCGGAUCAGGUAGGAAUACCCGCUGAACUUAAGCAUAUCAAU